Molecule: long non-coding RNA, 243 nt
Filed under: Chinchilla lanigera (long-tailed chinchilla)
Lineage: Eukaryota; Metazoa; Chordata; Mammalia; Rodentia; Chinchillidae
Description: lncRNA (ENSCLAG00000025834.1)
Source: RNAcentral
GCCCAUGGGCCACUGAAGGGUUCAAGAUCUGAUUCUAGCCUUUGCACCCCAGCUCUCCAGCCCUGGGUGAGGGGCCACCCCUGCAGGAGUGAGAAGAGGAAGGAGGAAUUGCAGAAUGAGACAUUGAAACCUCAGGCUCUGUCCCUGCUGUGCACCCUGAGAAGUGUCUCCAAAGGUGAGAAGUGAAGGCAGAACUCAUGCCCAAGUCUCAGUCCCAACCAGCCUUGUCUGUAAGCAAAUAGA